Molecule: long non-coding RNA, 1145 nt
Organism: Cyprinus carpio carpio
Lineage: Eukaryota; Metazoa; Chordata; Actinopteri; Cypriniformes; Cyprinidae
Source: Ensembl
UGCUGUCAGAAUUAAAAUCCAAAUAGUGGAUAAAACAUUAGAAAAAUUAGAGUACAAAUAGUGGAUAAAACAUCACAAUAGAGGAGUCACGUGACACGAUGCGAAAGGAGGCUGAGUAACAGCGAGCUCCGCUUCAAUCUGCUUAAUUUAUCCUAUCAUUCACUUUGUUCCGAUGAAAGUUUUUGUGAUUUGGGCGUCUAAGUGAUAUUUGAACAAGAUAAUGUCAAAAAACUCGAAAUCCUCGGCCUGUGGGGACAUUAAAAAACACUUACGUUCACACGCGCCCGAUGCGUCUCAGGAUCAAGAUGGCCGAGGCCCAGCCGAGCCUGAAACGGUCUCGGAGUCUCUUGCUGAGAAACACGACAUCGCCAAUAUUUACACGAUCCUGACAAAAAUAUCCGGUGACAUGGAUGGUAUUACGGAGAUACGGAAAACUACCGCGUCGAUGGAGGCUAAAUUAUCCGCUCUCAUCACAAGGCUGGACGAGGUGGAAAAACGAGUGGAGUUUUUGGAAGGAUCCGAGAAAGAACUAAAAGCUAAUCCACCUGCCAGUAAAGUCGAGCUGGAUCAGUUAUGGGACAAAAUUGAAGAUAUGGAAAAUCGCAGCAGACGCAACAAUAUUCGUAUCGUCGGAAUUCCGGAAGGCAAAGAAGGCCAGGAUAUGGUGAAGUUUCUGGACGGCAUUAUUCCGCCUCUGAUUGAUCGGUCGGACCGGCAAUUAGAGAUAGAACGCGCGCACAGAUCCCCCAGUCAACGUCCCAACUCGACUGACAAACCCCGGCCUAUUCUGGCAAGAUUUCUACGUUCUGCCGACAGGGACUUUGUGCUUCGUGCAGCCAGGAAUAAAGGUAGUCUAAGCUGGGAAAACAACAAUAUAAUGGUCUUCCCGGACUUCGCCAGAUCUACUCAGCUGAAGAGAGAGCGUUUUAAGGAGUGUAAAAAAAUUCUCCACACGAAAAAGACGAGAACAGCAUGAAAAUCAGGAUAGAGGACUCUGUUACUCUGGAUAUUUUGACUCAUUCUGAUGGCACCCGUUCACUGCAGAGGAUCCAUUGGUGAGCAAGUGGUCACAAAAAAUAAAUAAAUAAUAAUAAUCUACAAUCUUGGAUGAGGGUGAGUACAUUUUUGUCAAAUUUUCAUUUUUG